CUGUUCAAACCUGCUCUGGCCUGAACACCAGCAGAGCGGCGGCAGCUCCACCUGUGGCCCCCCUGGCCGGGCCUGGGCCGCGGCGUUUCCAGCACGAGAGAAACUGAUCAGAGACUGAGUGAGCAGAGCUGCAACCUGGGGAGGGACUGUUCUGAGUUUGCCAUCUCUUUUUGGAGCAGCAAGAGGAGGCUACUAAUAGCACAAGAACUCCCCGGAGAAACCCACUGAAGCAAGGCCAUGACCCAUCUCUGUAGGAGGUGAUCCACCAUCAGCCUUCCUUUGUGGCUUUUCUGCAAGAUGAACAGCUUUAGAUUACACAGGAGCUCUGCAGUUCUCCAUAGAAGCCAUCAGCAAUUUGAAGUUGUCCUUGAUACGAAAGAAAGAAAGAAGCUUCAGAGAGGUCUUGGAUGUCUUUGGAGCCAAAGCAUCAGUGGCAGAUACCACCUCAGACUACAAGUCCAUGACCACAUCAGAGGUAUCCACUCAGGGUGGCCUAUAAUCUUCAGAGAUUCAUUCUUAUAAAUUCCAGGCCUCUCUAGGGUACCUUUAGUGCCACUGGAGGAAAGAAGUGCUUUUGAGGAAGAAAUCACUUCACCUAAUUUAUAAGGUGAUAAAUCAUGGUCUCAAGGAGACUAGAUCUCUGUUAAGGAAGCCCAUAUCAGUUGCUUAGAUUUCAAUAAUAAUUUUUUAGUGAGCUAAAGUCAGAGAGAAUUAGUUCUACCUAGAGAGUUUGAAAAUUGAAGAGAUAUUCCCCUCAAUGUUUUCCCUCAUUAUAUAAUCACCAUUUUAUGAAUCAACUGUAAAUAACAAGCAGCAUCUAAUCUUCUCCCUAGAGUAAUUAAAAUUAUGAUAAGGGAAACAACUCCAGAGCACUUGGCUACCUCCUAUCUCCUUGACAAGUGUCAAGUUGGUGUC
This is a long non-coding RNA of Passer domesticus (house sparrow), 915 nucleotides long. RefSeq lists it as uncharacterized. The transcript has 3 exons. The record is from RefSeq and is a predicted model, not a curated record. NCBI's taxonomy places the organism in Eukaryota, Metazoa, Chordata, Aves, Passeriformes, Passeridae.